GGGUUUGCUUGUUGCCACUCCCUGGGGUGCUGUCGGCAUUGCUGGUCCCUGGACCUUCGGGGCUCGCUGGGGUGGUUCCAGUCCUGAAAGGACUGGUCCA
This 100-nucleotide non-coding RNA is filed under the name Oxyrrhis marina. The record is from RNAcentral. Lineage: Eukaryota; Dinophyceae; Oxyrrhinales; Oxyrrhinaceae.